This 74-nucleotide microRNA precursor is filed under the name Myotis lucifugus (little brown bat). RNAcentral describes it as "mir-9193 microRNA precursor family". It matches the Rfam family "mir-9193 microRNA precursor family". Lineage: Eukaryota; Metazoa; Chordata; Mammalia; Chiroptera; Vespertilionidae. The record is from Rfam by way of RNAcentral.
CUCAAGGGGGUCGGGUCCCUCAGCCUGGAUUGUGAGAGGGCGCAGGCCAGGCCAAGGGACCCCAGCAGUGCAUG